UUUUAACGAGAGUUUGAUCCUGGCUCAGGAUGAACGCUGGCGGCGUGCCUAACACAUGCAAGUCGAGCGAAGCGCUUAAGUUGGAUUCUUCGGAUGACGACUUUAGUGACUGAGCGGCGGACGGGUGAGUAACGCGUGGGCAACCUGCCUCGCACAGGGGGAUAACAGUUAGAAAUGACUGCUAAUA
Molecule: ribosomal RNA, 187 nt
Filed under: Mordavella massiliensis
Lineage: Bacteria; Bacillati; Bacillota; Clostridia; Eubacteriales; Clostridiaceae
Description: partial 16S ribosomal RNA
Rfam family: Bacterial small subunit ribosomal RNA
Source: RNAcentral